CGAGAAAUUUCAACGGCCACGGUACCCUAACCGUGCAAAGGUAGCAUAAUCACUUGUUCUCUAAAUAGGGACUCGUAUCAAUGGCAUCACGAGGGUCCUACUGUCUCCUUUUUCUAAUCAGUGAAACUAAUCUCCCCGUGAAGAAGCGGGAAUAUUUUUAUAAGACGAGAAGACCCCAUGGAGCUUUAAACCCAACUAUAUCCCUAAUUCCCUAUAACCAUUUAACCCCUUAGAAUUUAUAUAUUUGGUUUUAGGUUGGGGCGACCACGGAGUAAAGCCUAACCUCCACGAUGAACGAAAUAACCUCCUUAUCCAAGAACCACAUAUCUAAGAAUUAGUAAACUAACAUAUAAAUGACCCAUUAUUGAUCAACGAACCAAGUUACCCUGGGGAUAACAGCGCAAUCCAUUUUAAGAGCCCCUAUCGACAAAUGGGUUUACGACCUCGAUGUUGGAUCAGGAUAUCCCAGUGGUGCAGCAGCUACUAAAGGUUCGUUUGUUCAACGAUUAAAAUCCU
RNAcentral lists this ribosomal RNA (516 nucleotides) under Mantidactylus danieli. Its description in RNAcentral is "partial 16S ribosomal RNA". It matches the Rfam family "Bacterial large subunit ribosomal RNA", at positions 1911 to 2597 of the family's 2925-position model. The record is from RNAcentral. Lineage: Eukaryota; Metazoa; Chordata; Amphibia; Anura; Mantellidae.